RNAcentral lists this long non-coding RNA (2605 nucleotides) under Homo sapiens (human). Its description in RNAcentral is "non-protein coding lnc-COL28A1-6:1". The record is from RNAcentral. Lineage: Eukaryota; Metazoa; Chordata; Mammalia; Primates; Hominidae.
GGUAAAGGCUAUAAUUGCAUUUCUAAAGAGCUAAGUAGGAAGUUGGAAAAAGGAAAAAGAGAAGAGACAGAAAAAAUAAUUAAACUAUCUCUUAGAAAAAUGGGAGUAUUCAGUGACAGUUUGGGGCGGAUCACAAAGGGUCCUAUGUUCUCCUUGUAUGCUACCCUACCCAACCUCUAGGCUCUUCUUCCUCCACUAUCUCCUGUAUAUUGAUCUUCUCAGAGUAUAGAUCUGAUCAUGUUGUUUUCCACUUCAAACAAAAUAGAACAUAACACUUCACUAGCUCCUUGUUGCCCAAUGAAUAAGGAACAAAUUCUUUAGAUAAGUUUUGAAACUUUUUUCCUACUUUCUUCUACCAAUCUUAUUCUUUGGCUAAUUUAGUCAUUUUCCAAAUGCUCCUUACUUUUUCAAACCUCUGUGCUUUUGCUUUUGUGCCAUUCUGCCAUUCCUUUUUUUCUAGAAUGCUCAUUCCCUGUCUCUACCUAGGAAGACUUGCCCACCUUUGAGGGCCUAAUGCAAAUGUGAUUUCUUACUGGGUGAGAUCUGAGGGUGAGGUGGGUCCUGCCUUUAAUCCCUGUGCUUUGGGGAGGAUCACUGGAGCCCAGGAGUUCGAUGUUCCAGUGAGCUAUGAAUAUACCACUGCACUCCAGCCUGGGCAACAGAGCCAGAUCCCUGUCUCAAAGAAAAAAAAAAAAAAAGUAAAAAAAAGAAAAGAAAUGUGAUUUCCUUCAUCCAGUUGUACUGUCAUUCCAGGUAGAAGUGACUUUUAUCUAUACUUGGCUAAGCUUAAUUUUUAAAAACUUUAAGUAUAAUUUACAUGUACUUCCUUACAUACUUACCUAAAUGUAAGCAUACAGGUUGAAGAAGUUUCACAAACUGAACACACUGGAAUAAUCAAGAAUCAGAACACUACUAGCACCCCAGAAACCCUUUCUCCAGUCACUACUCCCACCUAAGGGUAACUACAACUCACACUUUAGGGUAUAGAUUAAUUUUGAACUUUAUAAAAGUGGAAUUAUAACAUGUGUACUCUCUUGGAUCUUUCUCCUAACAUUAUGUUUGAAAGAAAAUUUGAGUUUAUUUUUUUUAAGGUGUCUGGUUGCAAGAAACAGAAACCAAUUUGAAAUGGCCUAAACAAAGAAGGGAGAAUUUAUUACAAGAAUUUAAGGGCCAUAUGAAGAGGGCAGUAUUUGGGGAACAAGAAAGAAGGGGAUCAGUUUUGGAAAGCCAUUAGGAAUCUGGGAUAUAUUCUCUUUCCAUCUUUGAUCUCUGCAUUUCUGCCUUGUGUCCAUGUUACUAUUCUCCUCUUGCUUUAGCUUUCUCUGUCAAUGUUUUUUCUGAAAGUCUUAAUGCUGGAAUGAGGCCCAGAUAACCAUGGGCGGAAAUUAAACUGAUGUUAAUUUAGUAUUGACACUCUGCCUGUCCUUCCCAAACUUCCCCUAAAGACAUAGCUCACAGGAGUCUUAAAAUUAUGCCAUAAAAUAAAAUAGACGAAAGAGUAUUACCAGUACCUUAGAAAGCUGGAAUGGUUGACUUCUGUGUUUGCUUAAGAGAAACUUCCACUUUCAUUGCCUCAUUGUUCACUUUCAUUCCACGUAAGAUUUUAAGAUCAAAAAACACUUUUUCGGCUGGGCGAGAUGGCUCACUCCUGUAAUCCCAGCACUUUGGGAGGCGGUCGGAUCGCUUCAGCCCAGGACUUCUAGACCAGCCUGGGCAACAUGGUGAAACCCCAAAGCCUCCAACCUUCUCUUUUUUCUUUGGACAUACUAAAGGCCAGCCAGUCUGUGGGUAUGUGCUGAAUCCAAUCUUUGCUUCCCAAAUAAAAUGUUUUAAAUUUAGAGAUUAGUCUUUAUAUUUUAUCUGACUUCAACACAGCUAUGGGCUGAUCUGUAGAACUCAAUAUAGAAAUCUACUGUCCUGGUCAAGACUGGUAGAAAUACUCUCUUUACAAAUCAUAUCUGUGUUAAUUUUGAAUCUGCAAGUGAGUAAAAUAGGAAUUUGCUCUCUCAUCUCUUGGAAAUUUGAUCCAAAUCUAUAGACAUUGUGGUCGGAGAACAGUGAAUGCAUGAAGAGAAUGGUCCCAUAAAGUUGAGAUCGAGGAGCCAUUUUUUGCCGUGAGCUUUCUAACGGAAGAGUAGAGCAGACAGUGUGUGGACCUUUCAAGAGACAGCCUUGGUUCUUAGAAUAUUUAUUCAGUUUUCACUGAUUCUUUUGCUACAGGUUAGCUAACCAUGUAGCAGAUGCUUGAGUUUCACCUUUCUCCAGUCCAGCAGAAUUAUAUUUUGAUGACCUCCAUUUUGAUGCUUGUAGACCAGCUCUAAUCCAAAGAUUGAUCUUUAGGUAACAGAUGGAGAGUGAUAAGGAUAACUUCUGUGAAGACAAACCCAUGCACACAUCCUGUUGUCCGAAUAAUGUUUAAAUGAAUCCUUCUGCUCCCAAGCCAUCAACUUGCCCCUUAACACACAUCUUUCUAGAGCCCAAAUUUGAGCUCCUUGUAGAAGAUCUUUGCCCUCUUCACUCUCCAGGCCUUCCUAAUUAACGUCUUCUCAGAGUUUACCUUCUCUCUGUCUUAAUCAUUAGUUAAAAGAAAAAGUGGCUGGUGUAG